CGCGUAGGCGGCUUGGUAAGGGGGCGGUGAAAGCCCGGGGCUCAACCCCGGGUCUGCCGGACCGACUGCCGAGCUUGAGCACACUAGGGGCAGGUGGAAUUCCGGGUGUAGCGGUGGAAUGCGUAGAGAUCCGGAAGAACACCGGUGGCGAAGGCGGCCUGCCGGGGUGUGGCUGACGCUGAGGCGCGACAGCGUGGGGAGGCAAAACA
This 209-nucleotide ribosomal RNA is filed under the name uncultured bacterium. Its description in RNAcentral is "partial 16S ribosomal RNA". It matches the Rfam family "Bacterial small subunit ribosomal RNA", at positions 568 to 776 of the family's 1533-position model. The record is from RNAcentral.